RNAcentral lists this ribosomal RNA (501 nucleotides) under uncultured bacterium. Its description in RNAcentral is "partial 16S ribosomal RNA". It matches the Rfam family "Bacterial small subunit ribosomal RNA", at positions 29 to 523 of the family's 1533-position model. The record is from RNAcentral.
AUUGAACGCUGGCGGCAUGCCUUACACAUGCAAGUCGAACGGCAGCACGGGUGCUUGCACCUGGUGGCGAGUGGCGAACGGGUGAGUAAUACAUCGGAACGUACCUUAUCGUGGGGGAUAGCGCAGCGAAAGCUGUGCUAAUACCGCAUACGCCCUGAGGGGGAAAGCGGGGGAUCGAAAGACCUCGCGCGAUUAGAGCGGCCGAUGCCUGAUUAGCUUGUUGGUGGGGUAAAAGCCCACCAAGGCGACGAUCAGUAGCUGGUCUGAGAGGACGAUCAGCCACACUGGGACUGAGACACGGCCCAGACUCCUACGGGAGGCAGCGGUGGGGAAUUUUGGACAAUGGGGGCAACCCUGAUCCAGCAAUGCCGCGUGAGUGAAGAAGGCCUUCGGGUUGUAAAGCUCUUUUGUCAGGGAAGAAACACCGGCUCUAACACAGUCCGGGAAUGACGGUACCUGAAGAAUAAGCACCGGCUAACUACGUGCCAGCAGCCGCCGUAA